Molecule: long non-coding RNA, 1575 nt
Filed under: Oncorhynchus mykiss (rainbow trout)
Lineage: Eukaryota; Metazoa; Chordata; Actinopteri; Salmoniformes; Salmonidae
Description: lncRNA (ENSOMYG00000073218.1)
Source: RNAcentral
AUGAUGAUGAAAAGGACAAAUACCAAACUAAAGACUCCAAAACAAAGGAAAGGCCUCAAGUCCACUGAACAAACCCAGCAGUCCAACAAGUCCACUGAACAAACCCAGCAGUCCAACAAGUCCACUGAACAAACCCAGCAGUCCAACAAGUCCACUGAACAAACCCAGCAGUCCAACAAGUCCACUGAACAAACCCAGCAGUCCAACAAGUCCACUGAACAAACCCAGCAGUCCAACAAGUCCACUGAACAAACCCAGCAGUCCAACAAGUCCACUGAACAAACCCAGCAGUCCAACAAGUCCACUGAACAAACCCAGCAGUCCAACAAGUCCACUGAACAAACCCAUCAGCCCAACAAGUCCACUGAACAAACCCAGCAGCCCAACAAGUCCACUAAACAAACCCAGCAGCCCAACAAGUCCACUGAACAAACCCAGCAGCCCAACAAGUCCACUGAACAAACCCAGCAGUCCAACAAGUCCACUGAACAAACACAGCAGUCCAACAAGUCCACUGAACAAACCCAGCAGCCCAACAAGUCCACUGAACAAACCCAGCAGUCCAACAAGUCCACUAAACAAACCCAGCAGCCCAACAAGUCCACUGAACAAACCCAGCAGCCCAACAAGUCCACUGAACAAACCCAGCAGCCCAACAAGUCCAUUGAACAAACCCAGCAGUCCAACAAGUCCACUGAACAAACCCAGCAGUCCAACAAGUCCACUGAACAAACCCAGCAGUCCAACAAGUCCACUAAACAAACCCAGCAGCCCAACAAGUCCACUGAACAAACCCAGCAGCCCAACAAGUCCACUGAACAAACCCAGCAGCCCAACAAGUCCACUGAACAAACCCAGCAGUCCAACAAGUCCACUGAACAAACCCAGCAGUUCAACAAGUCCACUGAACAAACCCAGCAGCCCAACAAGUCCACUAAACAAACCCAGCAGCCCAACAAGUCCACUGAACAAACCCAGCAGCCCAACAAGUCCACUGAACAAACCCAGCAGUCCAACAAGUCCAAUGAACAAACACAGCAGUCCAACAAGUCCACUGAACAAACCCAGCAGCCCAACAAGUCCACUGAACAAACCCAGCAGUCCAACAAGUCCACUAAACAAACCCAGCAGUCCAACAAGUCCACUGAACAAACCCAGCAGUCCAACAAGUCCACUAAACAAACCCAGCAGCCCAACAAGUCCACUGAACAAACCCAGCAGCCCAACAAGUCCACUAAACAAACCCAGCAGUCCAACAAGUCCACUGAACAAACCCAGCAGUCCAACAAGUCCACUGAACAAACCCAGAGAGAGAGAGAGAGAGGGGGGGGGGGGGGUGGGGGGAGAGAGAGAGAGCGGGGGAGAGAGAGAGGGGGGGGAAGAGAGAGAGAGAGAGAGAGGGGAGGGGGAGAGAGAGAGAGAGAGAGGGGGGGUGGGGAGAGUGGGGGUAGAGAGAGAGAGAGAGAGAGAGAGAGAGGGGCUCCGUGUCACUCUGUGCCACACACACAGGUCACUGUAUCAACGAAACACAAUGGUAUUCUUUACACCUGUCAGUCUGCCACCACACCUACAUGA